RNAcentral lists this ribosomal RNA (474 nucleotides) under Triticum aestivum (bread wheat). Its description in RNAcentral is "partial small subunit ribosomal RNA". Lineage: Eukaryota; Viridiplantae; Streptophyta; Magnoliopsida; Poales; Poaceae. The record is from RNAcentral.
AUGUAUUAUGCCCGAUGGGUGCCUGAUGGGUUUGGGUUGCCUGAUGGGUUCGGGCGUGGGUCUAAUAACACACCCAUGGGUAGGGUCAUGAGUUUAGAAACGACCCGAUUAUUAAUCGGGCAUGGGUCUGGUAAAGGUCUACCCGGCCAAACCCGACCCGAUUGCCAGGUUGAGUCUCGCUCCACCAGUUUUCAGUUCCCCACUCCACGCUCCCGCUUUGACCCGGAGAAAACCAACCGUUCGAGAAGGCUGGGCUAUCAGCCCAUACAGCGCAGAUGCAGCCCGUUCGGGUGGAGAGAAAAGGCCAGCUCUAGUGCACAAAGGCUGAGGUCGCGUCGGAGGAAGCGAUUGCUGUACGGGAAGGUCAAACAUUGGCAGAGGAUCUAUAUGUUAACACAGUUCAGAUUGCAUCGGAUUGUAAGAGGGUGGUUGAUGAUGUCCAGAAGAACUCGGCGGCUGGGUAUGGAGCUAUAG